Bison bison bison is the source of this 148-nucleotide small nucleolar RNA. Lineage: Eukaryota; Metazoa; Chordata; Mammalia; Artiodactyla; Bovidae. The record is from Ensembl.
GAUUGUGGUAGUUUUCUUUCUGGCACAUGUGUUAAGUUUUCAAAUGGGCCUGGCUCUGCCACAUAUGUUAUAUAGGAGCUGGCAGAGGCUUGAUGACAAAGAGGUCUCUUUCUAGCCUUUCCUGCACCAGAGACGGGCUCCCACAUGU